This 744-nucleotide ribosomal RNA is filed under the name uncultured Acidobacteriota bacterium. RNAcentral's name for it is "bacterial SSU rRNA". It matches the Rfam family "Bacterial small subunit ribosomal RNA", at positions 32 to 775 of the family's 1533-position model. Lineage: Bacteria; Pseudomonadati; Acidobacteriota. The record is from RNAcentral.
ACCGCUGGCGGCGUGCCUAACACAUGCAAGUCGAACGAGAAAGCCGGUAGCAAUACUGGUGAGUAAAGUGGCGUACGGGUGAGUAACACGUGGAUAACCUACCUUCGAGUGGGGAAUAACCCUGGGAAACCGAGGCUAAAACCGCAUGACACCCGGAAACGAUGGUUUCUGGAUUGAAACUCGCAAGAGGCUCAAAGAGGGGUCCGCGGCUGAUUAGCUAGUUGGUGAGGUAACGGCCCACCAAGGCUAUGAUCGGUAGCCGGCCUGAGAGGGCGGACGGCCACACUGGAACUGAAACACGGUCCAGACUCCUACGGGAGGCAGCAGUGGGGAAUUUUGCGCAAUGGGGGAAACCCUGACGCAGCAACGCCGCGUGGACGAUGAAGCAUCUUGGUGUGUAAAGUCCUUUCGGCAGGGACGAAUCCCCCGCAAGGGGGUCGACGGUACCUGAAGAAGAAGCCCCGGCUAACUCCGUGCCAGCAGCCGCGGUAAUACGGGGGGGGCGAGCGUUGUUCGGAAUUAUUGGGCGUAAAGGGAGCGUAGGCGGUGCGGUAAGUCUGUUGUGAAACCUCCAGGCUCAACUUGGAGCUUGCAUCAGAAACUGCCGUGCUAGAGUGUGGGAGAGGAGAGUGGAAUUCCUGGUGUAGCGGUGAAAUGCGUAGAUAUCAGGAGGAACACCGGUGGCGAAGGCGGCUCUCUGGACCACAACUGACGCUGAGGCUCGAAAGCUAGGGGAGCAAACAG